AUGGCAGCAGGCGCGAAGGCCGACGGGCCGGCGAUCGGCAUCGACCUCGGGACGACCUACGCCUGCGUGGCCGUGUGGCGGCCAGUGCACCAACGCGUGGAGGUCAUCGCUAACGACCAGGGCAACCUCACCACGCCGUCCUGCGUCGCCUUCACCGACACCUGGCGGCUCAUCGGCGACGCGGCCAUGAACCCCGUCAACACCGUCUUCGACGCGAAACGACUGAUUGGUCGACGGUUCAGCGAAGAGUGUGUGCAAAGAGAUAUGAAGUUGUGGCCAUUCAAAGUUAUUUCAGGCAACAGUGAUCGGCCGAUGAUUGCGGUGAAGUAUAAGGGUGAGGAGAGGCAGUUCACAGCCGAAGAAAUAUCCUCCAUGGUUCUUGUCAAGAUGAGGGAGACAGCCGAGGCCUACCUCGACAUCGCCGUAAAGAAUGCUGUUAUCACCGUCCCAGUCUACUUCAACGACUCGCAGCGCCAGGCCACCCUCGAUGCCGGUCUCAUUGCUGGCCUCAACGUCACACGCAUCAUCAACGAGCCCUCGGCCGCCGCCAUCGCCUACGGUCUUGACAACACGUCCGUUAGUGGUGAUGGGAAGACGGUGCUCAUAUUUGAUUUUGGUGGUGGUACCUUGGAUAUCUCUGUCAUAAACAUUGACAAAGGCACAUUUGCGGUCAAGGCCACGUCUGGUGACACCCACCUUGGCGGGGAGGAUCUCAACAACAGAAUGGUGGAACACUUUCUGCAGGAAUUCUUGAAGAAACACAAGAGUGACAUCAGUGGCAGUCCGAGGGCUCUGAUGCGGCUUAAGACGGCCUGCGAGAGGGCCAAGAGGAUGCUGUCUUCUACGGCGCAGGCCAAGUUUGAGAUCGACUCGCUCCAUGAUGGCAUUGACUACUAUGUAUCCAUCACUCGCGCCCUGUUCGAGGAGCUCAACAUGGAUCUCUUCCGCAAGUGCAUUGAGCAUGUGGAGAAGUGCCUCGGUGACGCCAAGAUGGACAAGUCACAGAUCCACGACGUUGUGCUCGUCGGCGGCUCCACCAAGAUCACAAAGGUGCAGCAGAUGCUGCAGGAAUUCUUUGACGGGAAGAAGCUCUGCAACAGAAUCAAUCCUGACGAGGCUGUCGCCUAUGGUGCUGCUAUUCAAGCCGCCAUCCUCAGCGGCGAGCACAGCCAGAAGGUGAAGAACUUUCGCCUGCUUGACGUCACGCCGCUAUCGCUCGGGAUAGAGGUAGUAGGCGAUAUCAUGUCCGUGGUGAUACCCAGGAACACUACCAUCCCCGUUAGAAUGGAGAAGGAUUACACGACCAGCGUUGACAACCAGACCACCGUGCGCUUCUCGGUGUACGAGGGUGAAGGAGGGUUGAUCAAGGAUAACAAUCUGCUCGGGAUGUUUGACCUCACUGGUGUCCCUCCGGCACCGAGGGGCGUGCCAUCAUUCAAU
RNAcentral lists this ribosomal RNA (1440 nucleotides) under Triticum aestivum (bread wheat). Its description in RNAcentral is "partial small subunit ribosomal RNA". Lineage: Eukaryota; Viridiplantae; Streptophyta; Magnoliopsida; Poales; Poaceae. The record is from RNAcentral.